Molecule: ribosomal RNA, 315 nt
Filed under: uncultured Entrophospora
Lineage: Eukaryota; Fungi; Glomeromycota; Glomeromycetes; Entrophosporales; Entrophosporaceae
Description: eukaryotic LSU rRNA
Source: RNAcentral
AACGCAUAUUGCACUCUCUGGUAAUCCGGGGAGUAUGCCUGUUUGAGGGUCAGUAAAUAAUAAUUAUCAUAAUCUUUUUGAUUAUGGAAUUGGGCUUUUAUUUCAUUAAUGAUUUAUGGCCUCAAAUUUACGUUACCGCUUGUUUAAUAUGAAAUUCGACCGAAUGGAGCAAUUAAACAUUUCUCUCGUUAGGCGGAUUCAUCAAGCAGUUACGAUUUUUUGGCCGUCGAAGGACUUUUUACAAGUUCUUGGCCGAGAUCGUGAGUUUUUUAAACAAAUGACCUCAAAUCAGGCAAGAAUACCCGCUGAACUUAA